RNAcentral lists this ribosomal RNA (797 nucleotides) under Escherichia coli. Its description in RNAcentral is "partial 23S ribosomal RNA". It matches the Rfam family "Bacterial large subunit ribosomal RNA", at positions 396 to 1194 of the family's 2925-position model. The record is from RNAcentral. Lineage: Bacteria; Pseudomonadati; Pseudomonadota; Gammaproteobacteria; Enterobacterales; Enterobacteriaceae.
GCUGUGAGCUCGAUGAGUAGGGCGGGACACGUGGUAUCCUGUCUGAAUAUGGGGGGACCAUCCUCCAAGGCUAAAUACUCCUGACUGACCGAUAGUGAACCAGUACCGUGAGGGAAAGGCGAAAAGAACCCCGGCGAGGGGAGUGAAAAAGAACCUGAAACCGUGUACGUACAAGCAGUGGGAGCCUCUUUUAUGGGGUGACUGCGUACCUUUUGUAUAAUGGGUCAGCGACUUAUAUUCUGUAGCAAGGUUAACCGAAUAGGGGAGCCGAAGGGAAACCGAGUCUUAACUGGGCGUUAAGUUGCAGGGUAUAGACCCGAAACCCGGUGAUCUAGCCAUGGGCAGGUUGAAGGUUGGGUAACACUAACUGGAGGACCGAACCGACUAAUGUUGAAAAAUUAGCGGAUGACUUGUGGCUGGGGGUGAAAGGCCAAUCAAACCGGGAGAUAGCUGGUUCUCCCCGAAAGCUAUUUAGGUAGCGCCUCGUGAAUUCAUCUCCGGGGGUAGAGCACUGUUUCGGCAAGGGGGUCAUCCCGACUUACCAACCCGAUGCAAACUGCGAAUACCGGAGAAUGUUAUCACGGGAGACACACGGCGGGUGCUAACGUCCGUCGUGAAGAGGGAAACAACCCAGACCGCCAGCUAAGGUCCCAAAGUCAUGGUUAAGUGGGAAACGAUGUGGGAAGGCCCAGACAGCCAGGAUGUUGGCUUAGAAGCAGCCAUCAUUUAAAGAAAGCGUAAUAGCUCACUGGUCGAGUCGGCCUGCGCGGAAGAUGUAACGGGGCUAAACCAUGCAC